UCUUAAAGAAACACAAAAUAAGAAAUUUAUCACAAAAGAGCUGCUGUGAGACUGACUGAACAGAUUUAACGUGUCAGGUGGAGGUUUUAUCUUCACCAACCAUCAACCUGAUCAAUUCAUCAUCAACAUCUCUGAUGAAGAUGCUGAAGAUCAGAACUGAUGCUACAAUCAUCAGACAUCCAUCAAAAAGACAACGGAGCAGAAUGAAGGUGAGCGCUGUAAUAAAUAAUAACAGACAUUACUGUAUCUGAUCACAGAUUAGUAAAUAUCAUA
This is a non-coding RNA of Paramisgurnus dabryanus, 273 nucleotides long. The record is from RefSeq and is a predicted model, not a curated record. Lineage: Eukaryota; Metazoa; Chordata; Actinopteri; Cypriniformes; Cobitidae.